This 71-nucleotide transfer RNA is filed under the name Loxodonta africana (African savanna elephant). It matches the Rfam family "tRNA". Rfam says of the family: Transfer RNA (tRNA) molecules are approximately 80 nucleotides in length. Lineage: Eukaryota; Metazoa; Chordata; Mammalia; Proboscidea; Elephantidae. The record is from Rfam by way of RNAcentral.
GCAGUGGUGGUUCAGUGGUAGAAUUAUUGCCUUCCAUGCUAGAGACCCUGGUUUGAGUCCUGGCCAGUGCC